Molecule: ribosomal RNA, 919 nt
Filed under: Clostridioides difficile
Lineage: Bacteria; Bacillati; Bacillota; Clostridia; Peptostreptococcales; Peptostreptococcaceae
Description: partial 23S ribosomal RNA
Rfam family: Bacterial large subunit ribosomal RNA
Source: RNAcentral
AUAGGCCCAAGCGACUGUUUACCAAAAACAUAGGUUUCUGCUAAGUCGCAAGACGAUGUAUAGGAGCUGACGCCUGCCCGGUGCUGGAAGGUUAAGGGGAUCUGUUAGAGCAAUCGAAGCAGUGAACUUAAGCCCCAGUAAACGGCGGCCGUAACUAUAACGGUCCUAAGGUAGCGAAAUUCCUUGUCGGGUAAGUUCCGACCCGCACGAAAGGCGUAACGAUUUGGGCACUGUCUCAACAACAGACUCGGUGAAAUUGUAAUUCCGGUGAAGAUGCCGGAUACCUGCGACAGGACGGAAAGACCCCAUGGAGCUUUACUGUAGCUUGACAUUGGGUCUUGGUACUACAUGUACAGGAUAGGUGGGAGGCUUUGAAACCAGGACGCCAGUUUUGGCGGAGCCAUCCUUGGGAUACCACCCUUGUAGUACUGGGACUCUAACCAUAGGCCAUGAAUCUGGUCUUGGGACACUGUCAGGUGGGCAGUUUGACUGGGGCGGUCGCCUCCCAAAAGGUAACGGAGGCGCUCAAAGGUUCUCUCAGUACGGUCGGAAAUCGUACGUAGAGUGUAAAGGCAAAAGAGAGCUUGAUUGCAAGACAUACAGGUCGAGCAAGGAUGAAAAUCGGACUUAGUGAUCCGGUGGUUCUGCGUGGAAGGGCCAUCGCUCAACGGAUAAAAGCUACCCUGGGGAUAACAGGCUUAUCUCCCCCAAGAGUCCACAUCGACGGGGAGGUUUGGCACCUCGAUGUCGGCUCAUCACAUCCUGGGGCUGUAGUAGGUCCCAAGGGUUGGGCUGUUCGCCCAUUAAAGUGGUACGCGAGCUGGGUUCAGAACGUCGUGAGACAGUUCGGUCCCUAUCCGUCGCAGGCGUAGGAAAUUUGAGAAGACCUGUCCUUAGUACGAGAGGACCGGGAUGGACG